Molecule: ribosomal RNA, 504 nt
Filed under: Semnorhynchus sp. ARC3971
Lineage: Eukaryota; Metazoa; Arthropoda; Insecta; Coleoptera; Curculionidae
Description: partial 16S large subunit ribosomal RNA
Source: RNAcentral
AUUUAAGGUCUGACCUGCUCAAUGAUUUUAGAAUUAAAUAGCCGCGGUAAUUUGACCGUGCAAAGGUAGCAUAAUCAAUAGUUUCUUAAUUGGAAGCUUGUAUGAAGGGUUUGAUGAAAAAAUUUCUGUCUCUAUAGAAUUUUACUAGAAUUUUAUUUUUAAGUAAAAAAGCUUAAAUGUUUAUUGAAGACGAGAAGACCCUAUAGAGUUUUAUAUAAAAAAAAAUUAGUAAAGGUUUARAAUUGUUUUUAUUUAUUUUUUAAAAAUAUUUAGUUGGGGUGAUUGAAAAAUUGAUUAAACUUUUUUUAAAAUAAAACAUUUAUUUAUGAARAAAUGAUCCUUUUAAAUAGAGAUUAUAAGAUUAAAUUACCUUAGGGAUAACAGCGUAAUUUUUUUUAGAGUUCUUAUCGAAAAAAAAGAUUGCGACCUCGAUGUUGGAUUAAAAUUUAUUAUUGGUGUAGAAGCUGAUAGAUUAGGUCUGUUCGACCUUUAAAAUUUUACAUG